Molecule: ribosomal RNA, 327 nt
Filed under: uncultured eukaryote
Lineage: Eukaryota
Description: partial 18S ribosomal RNA
Rfam family: Eukaryotic small subunit ribosomal RNA
Source: RNAcentral
CCCUUAGAUGUUCGGGGCCGCACGCGCGCUACACUGAUGGGGACAGCGUGUUUGCCAUUCCUGGUCCGGCAGGAUUGGGCAAUCCGUUGAAUCCCCGUCGUGAUUGGGAUCGGAGCUUGUAACUAUUCUCCGUAAACGAGGAAUUCCCAGUAAGCGCAAGUCAUCAGCUUGCGUUGAUUACGUCCCUGCCCUUUGUACACACCGCCCGUCGCACCUACCGAUUGGAUGGUCCGGUGAAGCCUCGGGAUUGUGGCGGUUGCCUUUAUUGGUGGCCGCCGCGAGAACUUGUCUAAACCUUAUCAUCUAGAGGAAGGUGAAGUCGUAACA